RNAcentral lists this transfer RNA (76 nucleotides) under Chloroflexota bacterium. RNAcentral describes it as "tRNA-Glu". It matches the Rfam family "tRNA". From Rfam's summary of the family: Transfer RNA (tRNA) molecules are approximately 80 nucleotides in length. Their secondary structure includes four short double-helical elements and three loops (D, anti-codon, and T loops). Further hydrogen bonds mediate the characteristic L-shaped molecular structure. tRNAs have two regions of fundamental functional importance: the anti-codon, which is responsible for specific mRNA codon recognition, and the 3' end, to which the tRNAs corresponding amino acid is attached (by aminoacyl-tRNA synthetases). tRNAs cope with the degeneracy of the genetic code in two manners: having more than one tRNA (with a specific anti-codon) for a particular amino acid; and 'wobble' base-pairing, i.e. permitting non-standard base-pairing at the 3rd anti-codon position. Lineage: Bacteria; Bacillati; Chloroflexota. RNAcentral also lists the same sequence under 3 other names. The record is from RNAcentral.
GCCCCCAUCGUCUAGAGGCCUAGGACACCGGCCUUUCAAGCCGGCAACAUGGAUUCGAAUUCCAUUGGGGGCGCCA